Molecule: ribosomal RNA, 372 nt
Filed under: uncultured bacterium
Lineage: Bacteria
Description: bacterial SSU rRNA
Rfam family: Bacterial small subunit ribosomal RNA
Source: RNAcentral
GACGAACGCUGGCGGCGCGCUUAACACAUGCAAGUCGAACGAGAAGCUGUAGCAAUACAGUUGUACAGUGGCGAACGGGUGAGGAAUACAUGGGUAACCUACCCUCGAGUGGGGAAUAACCAGCCGAAAGGCUGGCUAAUACCGCGUACGCUUCCCAGUCUGCGGGUUGGGAAGGAAAGCUCUACCGUGGGUAGAGCGCUCAAGGACGGGCUCAUGUCCUAUCAGCUUGUUGGAGGGUAACGGCCUACCAAGGCAACGACGGGUAGCUGGUCUGAGAGGACGAUCAGCCACACUGGCACUGCGACACGGGCCAGACUCCGUACGGGAGGCAGCAGUGAGGAAUAUUGCGCAAUGGGCGACAGCCUGACGCAG